GUACAUGGUUGUGAGGAGUCUGCUUCCUCUGGGACAGGAACCUUCUUGCAAUGGGAAGCGUGGAUCCAGUUAGGCCUUCCGGCCAAUUUGACAGAGGUAGGGGAGAUCAGGAGAACUUGGAACGGUCCGUCAAAUCUUGGUUCCAGGGUGUGUUUUCGCACAAAUUUCUUGACCAGAACCCAGUCACCGGGGAGCAGACUGUGGUUGCCUGUGUCAGAAUCAGGAUCUGGAAUUGAAGAGAGAACUUGGGCAUGGAUUUUGUUCAAAGCAUUGGCAAGUUCAGUUACAUAAUCUACUAAAACAUCAGUUUGAAGUUGUAGUUGUUGGGGAAAAUAGCAACCUAGCCUAGG
Pelobates cultripes (western spadefoot toad) is the source of this 350-nucleotide non-coding RNA. Lineage: Eukaryota; Metazoa; Chordata; Amphibia; Anura; Pelobatidae. The record is from the annotation of a GenBank genome assembly.